RNAcentral lists this ribosomal RNA (253 nucleotides) under uncultured bacterium. RNAcentral's name for it is "partial 16S ribosomal RNA". It matches the Rfam family "Bacterial small subunit ribosomal RNA", at positions 524 to 776 of the family's 1533-position model. The record is from RNAcentral.
GACGUAGGGGACGAGCGUUGUCCGGAUUUAUUGGGCGUAAAGAGCGCGUAGGCGGCUUGGUAAGUCGGAUGUGAAAUCCCGGGGCUCAACCCCGUGACUGCACCCGAAACUGCCCGGCUAGAGGUAGGUAGGGGAGAUCGGAAUUCCUGGUGUAGCGGUGAAAUGCGCAGAUAUCAGGAGGAACACCGGUGGCGAAGGCGGUGGUCUGGGCCGGCACUGACGCUGAGGAGCGAAAGCGUGGGUAGCAAACAGG